UUUUCCUAUCUCUCUCUCUCUCUCUCUCUCUCUCUUAUCUCUGCUUCGAUAUUCAUCAGUAAAAAAAAGGGAUCGAAGAAUCACAUCCACUGAAAGCUAUUUUCUGUUUAUCAACUUCAUCGACUCAACUAUUUUUUAAAUCCAUCGAUCUAUUCUCAGAAAGAUUUCUGUUUCCAUGAGUAGAUCGGCCAUCACGUUUCGACUUUGGAGACAUCAUAUUGAAAAGUCAAAAUCUUCAUUGAUAGAAGAUAAUCACGUCCACGAAGACAGGUUCUCGUGCUAGAAAGAGUCCUUCAGGAGACCAGCUAAGGUAUGGAAUACCAAGACCCUUGACUCGGAAAGACAGAUCACGGCUUCAGUUUUUAAAACAGGGAUAAAUCGUCUGCAAUCCUUUGAUCGGUGAAGGCGGGAAGUAAUAGUAGACCAACUAAUCCGUUAUGGAGAAAUAGAUGGACAGUCAUCAUAAGUGAUAAGAGAAGCUCACACUGAGUACGGAGACAAAGACAGAGAGAUGAGAUUAACUUUUGACAUCACAGAGCAUAGGGAGCGAAGACCAAUGAGUAAGUCAACCACCCUGACGAUCAACAUACUUAUAAAACGAACCCGAAAACACAGCAUCAUCUGCUAUUGUCAUCCUGUACUUAUGCUGUGUUGUUCGGUACUGACCACCAGCUGCAGUUACGGAUACGU
This is a long non-coding RNA of Brassica oleracea var. oleracea, 690 nucleotides long. RefSeq lists it as uncharacterized. The transcript has 5 exons. The record is from RefSeq and is a predicted model, not a curated record. NCBI's taxonomy places the organism in Eukaryota, Viridiplantae, Streptophyta, Magnoliopsida, Brassicales, Brassicaceae.